This is a long non-coding RNA of Panicum virgatum (switchgrass), 1498 nucleotides long. RefSeq lists it as uncharacterized. The transcript has 2 exons. Lineage: Eukaryota; Viridiplantae; Streptophyta; Magnoliopsida; Poales; Poaceae. The record is from RefSeq and is a predicted model, not a curated record.
GUUCAAGGGUGCAUGAUGUCUGGUUUUGGAGUUCGAGGUUGAAAAUUGGACACUCGUGAAAGUUUAGAGUUGAAAAUAGGACUUUUCCCUUUUUUUUUGCUCCAUGCCAAGUGCCAAGAAUACAAUCUUUUUUUUCUGCUACCUUUUUUUGCUCCAACCAAGUGCCUAACAGGUUGCCUAAUAUUGAUGCUGCAUUUUCUACACUUUAUAUUGCUUUUAAGCACUUUCUCUUCUCCUGUUGAUAAAGUGAGUUUUUAGUAUUUUUGUAUGUCAGGUUGUAUUGAAACCCAAACUGCAUGAAUGACUCAACUCAGAGAUGGUGUUGGUGGAGCAAGCAAAUGAAACAUGACCAAAUCCCAUAUGCAUGUUAACAAGCUAUAUAAAUAUGUCAGAUAUUAUUUCUAGCAUCCUACAAUAUAGCUGAUUACUUUGUUAUAUGUUCACCAUUAUUCAUAUGAUUUCUUCCAACUUUUCUUUCUUACCAUUGAGAAACUUUUUCUACCAUUAAUUUAGUUGCCUAAAAAUAGUAUGUUUACAUUGAAAAAUACCAGAAUGAGGACUUUGCUCGAUCUCCUACGAUUAGUUGCUUAGAAUGUUUCAGUUCAAUACUCUGUGAUACUUUGUAUUCUAUAUUUGUAUGCCUCACAAGCGUUGUGGUUCACACAAAGUUAUAAAUUGUUUCUUGCAUAAUCAGAUGUCUGGUUCAGUAUAGUUUUAUUCUUCUACAAACUGAGAACAAAAUAUGUACGGGAAUAGUCAUCCACCAUUAUAAUGUAAUGUCUCUAUUUAUAUGACUACAGAGCAACAAGGGCUCAGAGUUUGCAUCUGUUCUUAGGUUUUUGCUGGAGAACUUUCCGGGGAGCAUUGUUCAAAAAAUGGAAGUUAGAAGGUAAGUUGUCCCUGGUGUUUCUAAAAGUUUGACGACACCACUAUCUAAUCAAAUUUGGUAGCCUAAUCAGCAUAUUAAACUAUAAUUAUUUUAUCAGUUAAUGCAUUCCUAUAUUGCUUCAUAUUUAAUUUUCUUUGUUUUUGUUUGGUCAUUGUUGCUGGGAUGGGAGAUGACAUCAUAGAUGGGAGUCAACAGUCCAGACUCCAGAUAUGUUGCCUCCUAGGUAUUCAGUUUCAGGGUUUUAGGAGGCAAGACAGCUACAGAUGUUCGAUGUGCUCAAGGUCCUGCUCAAGCUGCUGACUCUAUAGGUUGUCGAUAAAAGAACAUGAAGGCACAUACGGGAAUUGCAUGAAGCAGCCGUAUACAGGAAUUUCAUGAAGCAGCCGUACAGUGAAACUUCUUCAUCUCGACCUUCCACAUAUGGGAGCUAUUGUUAGUUUUUGGUUGUUUGAUUUUUGCAGCUGUGGUGAACUGAAACCCUUUCAUAUAUGAUUAGAUUUUAAAGAGGUGUAAGAUGUCAUUUGCAUUAUGCAGAAACUGUGCGGUUGAAGUGAACAUUCAAUUGUAUUAUCACAAAGAAGGCUGUAAUAUGUUACAACCUCUUGCUUG